AACAAACGCUGGCGGCGUGCCUAAUACAUGCAAGUCGAACGGGGAAAGCUUUCGGGUGAGUACUAGUGGCGCACGGGUGAGGAACGCGUGGAUAAUCUGCCUUAGAUUGGGGGAUAACUAGUCGAAAGAUUAGCUAAUACCGCAUAAGACCACGAGAGCUGCGGCUUUUGAGGUCAAAGGUUUUUCGCUCUAAGAUGAGUCCGCGUAAGAUUAGCUAGUUGGUGAGGUAACGGCUCACCAAGGCGACGAUCUUUAACUGGUCUGAGAGGAUGAUCAGUCACAAUGGAAAUGAGACACGGUACAGACUCCUACGGGAGGCAGCAGUAGGGAAUAUUGCACAAUGGAGGAAACUCUGAUGCAGCGACGCCGCGUGAGUGAUGAAGGCCUUCGGGUAGUAAAGCUCUGUCGCAGGGGAAUAACACAAUGAAGGUACCCUGUAAGAAAGGAUCGGCUAACUUCGUG
Molecule: ribosomal RNA, 462 nt
Filed under: uncultured bacterium
Lineage: Bacteria
Description: partial 16S ribosomal RNA
Rfam family: Bacterial small subunit ribosomal RNA
Source: RNAcentral